AAUUCAUAAACUGUCAAUCAAUCAAUGAAUUAUCAUCCUUUCUUUGAUAAUCUUAUGCAAAUAUAUUACAGUAUAUUUUUAGCGCACUGUUUUACAGAAUGGCUUAAAAUGCCUUACUGACUGUUUUCAAUAUAACCCUGUGUAAAUUCUGCGAAUUAAAUGAUUACUUAGGAUCUACUGAUAUACAUUUGAUACAACAAAAUUCAAAAACUUUUUCUGCAGACCGGAUGUAAAUUACAAAAUUGUUUUCUUUCAUACAAAUUUAAAAAAAAAA
This is a long non-coding RNA of Anneissia japonica, 274 nucleotides long. RefSeq lists it as uncharacterized. Lineage: Eukaryota; Metazoa; Echinodermata; Crinoidea; Comatulida; Comatulidae. The transcript is spliced from 3 exons. The record is from RefSeq and is a predicted model, not a curated record.